AAUUUGUUUCACAACUUUUGGACCCUUAUGCCAUUGACAGCCUAGACCCUAGAUGUAGGAUCUUAAAGAGUACCAAACAAAUUGUUUUAUUAUUUUCGCGAACUACCGCACACAGAAUAAAAUUGUGUAAAUAUAUACAGUGCUAGUAUACACAGUUUUAUAUAGGGCAAAUCUCCAAAAUAGCACAUUUCUAAGUUUAUAUCACAA
RNAcentral lists this long non-coding RNA (207 nucleotides) under Brassica napus (rape). Its description in RNAcentral is "long non-coding RNA (BNAP_LNC019051)". The record is from RNAcentral. Lineage: Eukaryota; Viridiplantae; Streptophyta; Magnoliopsida; Brassicales; Brassicaceae.